CCCUUAGAUGUUCUGGGCCGCACGCGCGCUACACUGAUGCAUUCAACGAGUCUAAAACCUGCUCUGAUAGGGGUGGGUAAUCUUUUGAAUGGGCAUCGUGAUUGGGAUAGAUGAUUGCAAUUUUUCAUCUUCAACGAGGAAUGCCUAGUAAACGCAAGUCAUCAGCUUGCAUUGAUUACGUCCCUGCCCUUUGUACACACCGCCCGUCGCUCCUACCGAUUGAAUGAUCCGAUGAAUAUCAUGGAUUGAGGAUGCAAGCAGGUUCGCCUGUCUUCAUCUUCGAGAAGUGAAGUAAAUCUUAUCAUUUAGAGGAAGGAGAAGUCGUAACA
This 329-nucleotide ribosomal RNA is filed under the name uncultured eukaryote. RNAcentral describes it as "partial 18S ribosomal RNA". It matches the Rfam family "Eukaryotic small subunit ribosomal RNA", at positions 1470 to 1796 of the family's 1831-position model. The record is from RNAcentral.